CUGGCGGCAGGCCUAACACAUGCAAGUCGAGUCGCACUCUUCGGAGUGAGCGGCGGACGGGUUAGUAACGCGUGGGAACAUACCCUUUUCUACGGAAUAGCCUCGGGAAACUGAGAGUAAUACCGUAUACGCCCUUCGGGGGAAAGAUUUAUCGGUGAAGGAUUAGCCCGCGUUUGAUUAGAUAGUUGGUGGGGUAAUGGCCCUACCAAGUCUACGAUCAAUAGCUGGUUUGAGAGGAUGAUCAGCAACACUGGGACUGAGACACGGCCCAGACUCCUACGGGAGGCAGCAGUGGGGAA
Molecule: ribosomal RNA, 299 nt
Filed under: uncultured Jannaschia sp.
Lineage: Bacteria; Pseudomonadati; Pseudomonadota; Alphaproteobacteria; Rhodobacterales; Roseobacteraceae
Description: partial 16S ribosomal RNA
Rfam family: Bacterial small subunit ribosomal RNA
Source: RNAcentral